This 497-nucleotide ribosomal RNA is filed under the name uncultured bacterium. RNAcentral's name for it is "partial 16S ribosomal RNA". It matches the Rfam family "Bacterial small subunit ribosomal RNA", at positions 28 to 507 of the family's 1533-position model. The record is from RNAcentral.
GACGAACGCUGGCGGCGUGCCUAAUACAUGCAAGUAGAACGCUGAAGAGAGGAGCUUACUCUUCUUGGAUGAGUUGCGAACGGGUGAGUAACGCGUAGGUAACCUGCCUUGUAGCGGGGGAUAACUAUUGGAGACGAUAGCUAAUACCGCAUAACAAUGGAUGACACAUGUCAUUUAUUUGAAAGGGGCAAUUGCUCCACUACAAGAUGGACCUGCGUUGUAUUAGCUAGUAGGUGAGGUAAUGGCUCACCUAGGCGACGAUACAUAGCCGACCUGAGAGGGUGAUCGGCCACACUGGGACUGAGACACGGCCCAGACUCCUACGGGAGGCAGCAGGAGGGAAUCUUCGGCAAUGGGGGCAACCCUGACCGAGCAACGCCGCGUGAGUGAAGAAGGUUUUCGGAUCGUAAAGCUCUGUUGUAAGUCAAGAACGGGUGUGAGAGUGGAAAGUUCACACUGUGACGGUAGCUUACCAGAAAGGGACGGCUAACUACGUG